Small nuclear RNA from Cynocephalus volans (Philippine flying lemur), 112 nucleotides. NCBI's taxonomy places the organism in Eukaryota, Metazoa, Chordata, Mammalia, Dermoptera, Cynocephalidae. The record is from RefSeq and is a predicted model, not a curated record.
GUGCUUGGGUCAUGUCAGCAGCACAUAUACUAACGUUGGAACCAUACGGAGAAGAUUAUCCUGGUCCCUUUGCAAGGAUGACACGCAAGUUGAUGAAUCAUUCCAUAUUUUG